Molecule: ribosomal RNA, 496 nt
Filed under: uncultured bacterium
Lineage: Bacteria
Description: partial 16S ribosomal RNA
Rfam family: Bacterial small subunit ribosomal RNA
Source: RNAcentral
AUGAACGCUGGCGGCGUGCCUAAUCCCUGCAAGUCGAGCGAACAGACGAGGAGCUUGCUCCUCUAACGUUAGCGGCGGACGGGUGAGUAACACGUGGAUAACCUACCUAUAAGACUGGGAUAACUUCGGGAAACCGGAGCUAAUACCGGAUAAUAUAUUGAACCGCAUGGUUCAAUAGUGAAAGACGGUUUUGCUGUCACUUAUAGAUGGAUCCGCGCCGCAUUAGCUAGUUGGUAAGGUAACGGCUUACCAAGGCAACGAUGCGUAGCCGACCUGAGAGGGUGAUCGGCCACACUGGAACUGAGACACGGUCCAGACUCCUACGGGAGGCAGCAGUAGGGAAUCUUCCGCAAUGGGCGAAAGCUUGACGGAGCAACGCCGCGUGAGUGAUGAAGGUCUUCGGAUCGUAAAACUCUGUUAUUAGGGAAGAACAAAUGUGUAAGUAACUAUGCACGUCUUGACGGUACCUAAUCAGAAAGCCACGGCUAACUACGUG